UACGUAGGGGGCGAGCGUUGUCCGGAGUUACUGGGCGUAAAGGGCGUGUAGGCGGAUCGGUAAGUCUACUCUGAAAGCUCCUGGCUAAACUGGGAGAGGCGAGUGGAGACUGUCGGUCUAGAGUGAGGAAGGGGAAAGUGGAAUUCCGCGUGUAGUGGUGAAAUGCGUAGAGAUGCGGAGGAACACCAGUGGCGAAAGCGGCUUUCUGGUCCUUAACUGACGCUGAGGCGCGAAAGCAUGGGGAGCGAACGGG
Molecule: ribosomal RNA, 253 nt
Filed under: uncultured bacterium
Lineage: Bacteria
Description: partial 16S ribosomal RNA
Rfam family: Bacterial small subunit ribosomal RNA
Source: RNAcentral